Non-coding RNA from Pelobates cultripes (western spadefoot toad), 338 nucleotides. Lineage: Eukaryota; Metazoa; Chordata; Amphibia; Anura; Pelobatidae. The record is from the annotation of a GenBank genome assembly.
CAAAUACUUUUUUCCUCACUGUAGAAAUGGUUACUGGGGUCACACAAAUAAGUGGAUCCAGAGCCCCUGCCUAACCUCGAGGUUGUAGAUGGUUGCAUAGGGUUGUCUUAUGCUAAAUCCUGCUCUGAUAGCUGGUAUUAGUGGGUUCUUUAUCAUGGCAUAAGGUGGCAUGGAGAAAUUCUGGUAAAGUUGAAAUAAAACUUGAAAGAACAAAUUAAUGGUUGUUUUUGUUAAUAAUACUACCUUACUAUUUCAUCGUUGUACUUAUGCAGGUAAGCAACUAAAUUGAAUUGGUGAAAAUGUUUAAAAGACAACAUAAAUACACGAUGAUGUGCAUG